Molecule: long non-coding RNA, 310 nt
Filed under: Solanum tuberosum (potato)
Lineage: Eukaryota; Viridiplantae; Streptophyta; Magnoliopsida; Solanales; Solanaceae
Description: long non-coding RNA (STUB_LNC000163)
Source: RNAcentral
GGAUAAGUUAUCCCUCUCUUUGGGUGGUAUAGUAAUCCCGAGAUAACUUAUCCCGGGAUAAAAUAGGUAAAUGACAAAAAUGUCUCUUUCAACCCUUUUGUUGUAUCACUUUUUACCUUAAUGAAGGGCAUUUUUGUAAAUAAAUAAAUUGUUCUUAAAAUUUAUUAUUUUGAAUAUAACAAACCAAACACUCAAUAAAAAAUAAUCCCAACACAACUUAUCCCAUCAUAACUAAUCCCAACAUAACUUAUCCCAACAUAACUUAUCCCAUCAUAACUCAUUUUCAAACCAAACGACCCCUAAGAGUAUA